Molecule: ribosomal RNA, 2893 nt
Filed under: Escherichia coli EPEC11
Lineage: Bacteria; Pseudomonadati; Pseudomonadota; Gammaproteobacteria; Enterobacterales; Enterobacteriaceae
Description: bacterial LSU rRNA
Rfam family: Bacterial large subunit ribosomal RNA
Source: RNAcentral
ACUAAGCGUACACGGUGGAUGCCCUGGCAGUCAGAGGCGAUGAAGGACGUGCUAAUCUGCGAUAAGCGUCGGUGAGGUGAUAUGAACCGUUAUAACCGGCGAUUUCCGAAUGGGGAAACCCAGUGUGUUUCGACACACUAUCAUUAACUGAAUCCAUAGGUUAAUGAGGCGAACCGGGGGAACUGAAACAUCUAAGUACCCCGAGGAAAAGAAAUCAACCGAGAUUCCCCCAGUAGCGGCGAGCGAACGGGGAGGAGCCCAGAGCCUGAAUCAGUGUGUGUGUUAGUGGAAGCGUCUGGAAAGGCGCGCGAUACAGGGUGACAGCCCCGUACACAAAAAUGCACAUAUUGUGAGCUCGAUGAGUAGGGCGGGACACGUGGUAUCCUGUCUGAAUAUGGGGGGACCAUCCUCCAAGGCUAAAUACUCCUGACUGACCGAUAGUGAACCAGUACCGUGAGGGAAAGGCGAAAAGAACCCCGGCGAGGGGAGUGAAAAAGAACCUGAAACCGUGUACGUACAAGCAGUGGGAGCCUCUUAAUGGGGUGACUGCGUACCUUUUGUAUAAUGGGUCAGCGACUUAUAUUCUGUAGCAAGGUUAACCGAAUAGGGGAGCCGAAGGGAAACCGAGUCUUAACUGGGCGUUAAGUUGCAGGGUAUAGACCCGAAACCCGGUGAUCUAGCCAUGGGCAGGUUGAAGGUUGGGUAACACUAACUGGAGGACCGAACCGACUAAUGUUGAAAAAUUAGCGGAUGACUUGUGGCUGGGGGUGAAAGGCCAAUCAAACCGGGAGAUAGCUGGUUCUCCCCGAAAGCUAUUUAGGUAGCGCCUCGUGAAUUCAUCUCCGGGGGUAGAGCACUGUUUCGGCAAGGGGGUCAUCCCGACUUACCAACCCGAUGCAAACUGCGAAUACCGGAGAAUGUUAUCACGGGAGACACACGGCGGGUGCUAACGUCCGUCGUGAAGAGGGAAACAACCCAGACCGCCAGCUAAGGUCCCAAAGUCAUGGUUAAGUGGGAAACGAUGUGGGAAGGCCCAGACAGCCAGGAUGUUGGCUUAGAAGCAGCCAUCAUUUAAAGAAAGCGUAAUAGCUCACUGGUCGAGUCGGCCUGCGCGGAAGAUGUAACGGGGCUAAACCAUGCACCGAAGCUGCGGCAGCGACACUAUGUGUUGUUGGGUAGGGGAGCGUUCUGUAAGCCUGUGAAGGUGGCCUGUGAGGGUUGCUGGAGGUAUCAGAAGUGCGAAUGCUGACAUAAGUAACGAUAAAGCGGGUGAAAAGCCCGCUCGCCGGAAGACCAAGGGUUCCUGUCCAACGUUAAUCGGGGCAGGGUGAGUCGACCCCUAAGGCGAGGCCGAAAGGCGUAGUCGAUGGGAAACAGGUUAAUAUUCCUGUACUUGGUGUUACUGCGAAGGGGGGACGGAGAAGGCUAUGUUGGCCGGGCGACGGUUGUCCCGGUUUAAGCGUGUAGGCUGGUUUUCCAGGCAAAUCCGGAGAAUCAAGGCUGAGGCGUGAUGACGAGGCACUACGGUGCUGAAGCAACAAAUGCCCUGCUUCCAGGAAAAGCCUCUAAGCAUCAGGUAACAUCAAAUCGUACCCCAAACCGACACAGGUGGUCAGGUAGAGAAUACCAAGGCGCUUGAGAGAACUCGGGUGAAGGAACUAGGCAAAAUGGUGCCGUAACUUCGGGAGAAGGCACGCUGAUAUGUAGGUGAAGCGACUUGCUCGUGGAGCUGAAAUCAGUCGAAGAUACCAGCUGGCUGCAACUGUUUAUUAAAAACACAGCACUGUGCAAACACGAAAGUGGACGUAUACGGUGUGACGCCUGCCCGGUGCCGGAAGGUUAAUUGAUGGGGUUAGCGGCAACGCGAAGCUCUUGAUCGAAGCCCCGGUAAACGGCGGCCGUAACUAUAACGGUCCUAAGGUAGCGAAAUUCCUUGUCGGGUAAGUUCCGACCUGCACGAAUGGCGUAAUGAUGGCCAGGCUGUCUCCACCCGAGACUCAGUGAAAUUGAACUCGCUGUGAAGAUGCAGUGUACCCGCGGCAAGACGGAAAGACCCCGUGAACCUUUACUAUAGCUUGACACUGAACAUUGAGCCUUGAUGUGUAGGAUAGGUGGGAGGCUUUGAAGUGUGGACGCCAGUCUGCAUGGAGCCGGCCUUGAAAUACCACCCUUUAAUGUUUGAUGUUCUAACGUGGGCCCCUAAUCGGGGUUGCGGACAGUGUCUGGUGGGUAGUUUGACUGGGGCGGUCUCCUCCUAAAGAGUAACGGAGGAGCACGAAGGUUGGCUAAUCCUGGUCGGACAUCAGGAGGUUAGUGCAAUGGCAUAAGCCAGCUUGACUGCGAGCGUGACGGCGCGAGCAGGUGCGAAAGCAGGUCAUAGUGAUCCGGUGGUUCUGAAUGGAAGGGCCAUCGCUCAACGGAUAAAAGGUACUCCGGGGAUAACAGGCUGAUACCGCCCAAGAGUUCAUAUCGACGGCGGUGUUUGGCACCUCGAUGUCGGCUCAUCACAUCCUGGGGCUGAAGUAGGUCCCAAGGGUAUGGCUGUUCGCCAUUUAAAGUGGUACGCGAGCUGGGUUUAGAACGUCGUGAGACAGUUCGGUCCCUAUCUGCCGUGGGCGCUGGAGAACUGAGGGGGGCUGCUCCUAGUACGAGAGGACCGGAGUGGACGCAUCACUGGUGUUCGGGUUGUCAUGCCAAUGGCACUGCCCGGUAGCUAAAUGCGGAAGAGAUAAGUGCUGAAAGCAUCUAAGCACGAAACUUGCCCCGAGAUGAGUUCUCCCUGACCCUUUAAGGGUCCUGAAGGAACGUUGAAGACGACGACGUUGAUAGGCCGGGUGUGUAAGCGCAGCGAUGCGUUGAGCUAACCGGUACUAAUGAACCGUGAGGCUUAACC